GCUCGUAGUUGGAUUUCGGGCGUGGAGGUUCGGUCCGCCGUUUCGGUGUGCACUGUCUUUCUGCGUCUUUCUGUCGGGGACGCGCUUCUGGCCUUAAUUGGCUGGGACGUGGAUUCGACGAGGUUACUUUGAAAAAAUUAGAGUGUUCAAAGCAAGCUAAAGCUCUGAAUACAUUAGCAUGGAAUAACGCGAGAGGACUCGGUCCUUAUUUUGUUGGUCUUCAAGGAUGGAGUAAUGAUUAAGAGGGACAGUUGGGGGCAUUCGUAUUUCAUUGCUAGAGGUGAAAUUCUUGGAUUUAUGAAAGACGAACUUCUGCGAAAGCAUUUGCCAAGGAUGUUUUCAUUGAUCAAGAACGAAAGUUGGGGGCUCGAAGAUGAUCAGAUACCAUCCUAGUCUCAACCAUAAACGAUGCCGACUAGGGAUUGGCAGGUGUUACAUCGAUGACUCUGCCAGCACCUUAUGAGAAAUCAAAGUUUUUGGGUUCCGGGGGGAGUAUGGUCGCAAGGCUGAAACUUAAAGGAAUUGACGGAAGGGCACCACCAGGAGUGGAGCCUGCGGCUUAAUUUGACUCAACACGGGGAAACUUACCAGGUCCAGACAUAGUAAGGAUUGACAGAUUGAGAGCUCUUUCUUGAUUCUAUGGGGUGGUGGUGCAUGG
This 658-nucleotide ribosomal RNA is filed under the name Pycnococcus provasolii. RNAcentral describes it as "SSU rRNA". It matches the Rfam family "Eukaryotic small subunit ribosomal RNA", at positions 626 to 1287 of the family's 1831-position model. The record is from RNAcentral. Lineage: Eukaryota; Viridiplantae; Chlorophyta; Pseudoscourfieldiophyceae; Pseudoscourfieldiales; Pycnococcaceae.